ACCAACCGGAUUGCCUUAGUAACGGCGAGUGAAGCGGCAAAAGCUCAAAUUUGAAAUCUGGUACCUUCGGUGCCCGAGUUGUAAUUUGGAGAGGGCAACUUUGGGGCCGUUCCUUGUCUAUGUUCCUUGGAACAGGACGUCAUAGAGGGUGAGAAUCCCGUGUGGCGAGGAGUGCGGUUCUUUGUAAAGUGCCUUCGAAGAGUCGAGUUGUUUGGGAAUGCAGCUCUAAGUGGGUGGUAAAUUCCAUCUAAAGCUAAAUAUUGGCGAGAGACCGAUAGCGAACAAGUACAGUGAUGGAAAGAUGAAAAGAACUUUGAAAAGAGAGUGAAAAAGUACGUGAAAUUGUUGAAAGGGAAGGGCAUUUGAUCAGACAUGGUGUUUUGUGCCCUCUGCUCCUUGUGGGUAGGGGAAUCUCGCAUUUCACUGGGCCAGCAUCAGUUUUGGUGGCAGGAUAAAUCCAUAGGAAUGUAGCUUGCCUCGGUAAGUAUUAUAGCCUGUGGGAAUACUGCC
This 510-nucleotide ribosomal RNA is filed under the name uncultured Saccharomyces. Its description in RNAcentral is "eukaryotic LSU rRNA". It matches the Rfam family "Eukaryotic large subunit ribosomal RNA", at positions 64 to 578 of the family's 3401-position model. Lineage: Eukaryota; Fungi; Ascomycota; Saccharomycetes; Saccharomycetales; Saccharomycetaceae. The record is from RNAcentral.